GUGCCGUCUGCGCUAUUGGAAACUACCUCUUAAAGAUAUUCCUUAGUUCAGGGUUUCUCCAAGCAACUGCACCAAAGUUUCUCCAAAGUAUUAAGAAAAGUCAAUGCCUACUGGGUGUACAGGCACCCAGUAACAAGUUUUUCCGAAAUCUUGCCUCUUUAAAAAAAUAAUGGAAAGGUAAUGCUGAUUUUGUUUUCUACUCCACAAUAGGUCUGCUUUUAUAUAAAAAAUCACCUUUAAAAUUACUUAUCCGCUCAAUUCCUUAGCCUUUUCCGUUUCCUAUUUUCCAGAAAACGCAUCUUUAUUAUUUUAGAAAUGAGAAAAGUGAGGCUUAGAGGUUACUACCUCACAAAGCCAUCCGUCCAUCCUCACAAACUUGGAACCAGUUUCUCACUAACUCUGCACCCUCAACACCCCCUCACACUCUCGGUCACCCACCCGCGAACCCACCCGAACUGUACCCCUGCCCCCAGCCACACAAGCUCGGAUCACCGCACAUCAUAGAAGGCGAUUCCUCCCCUCCAUACUCCCAGCCCCGUCGCAGGCACUGCAAAUCCUCCCCUCCAGCGUCCCUGGCCCGUUUCAGUGUCCAGAAACCCAAGUCCCACAGGGCCGAAACCCAACUCACCGGCAGACAAAGACGACCAUGGCAAGUCGGAGAUUCCGCGCCUGCGCACUCCUUCCGCGGGCAGCGCUCCCAGAGGUCUCCUGGGCUGGGCCAGGCCCCGACUCAGAACCGGACGGAAUCGAGAGAUCUUGGCCCGUCCUCCGUGCCACUCUUUUGAGGGUAGACUACAUUUCCCAGAAGGUUCAGCGGUUUGAGUCAGCUUUUCGCGCGAACUUUUCCUCCGCCAGAGCUUGUGGGACUGUCUCCCUGGCCGGGGCAGGGGUGUAAGGCCUUAGUCUUAGUUUACUCUAUCCCUGGGAUUGGGUAGUGGUGUAACAUCAGCUUAAACACGCUGUGCUGACUUUAUGUAACAGCCACGGUGCGAUACUAAGCCAGGAACCCCAGGAGACUCUCAGACACGGUUCGGGAAUGAGGGUAAUCCCUUUGGCUGGGCUCAAGCCGGGCGCCAUCUUGCUCAUCGCGGGCGUGGCGCUGAACUACAUUUCCCAGAAGGCGCCGCGCCCUCGGCCCCUCCCCUCGCGACUCCCGCGGCUCGGGGGAGAGCUGCACGCGACCCAGGUGCUGGCCUCUGAGCGGGUCGGCUCGGAGACUACAGGAUCAGGAGGAGGUUGGAGGUGAAGCGUCUGGAAUCCGGUGCGGAGGUUGAGACUGAGUAUUAAGUCUGUUCAGGCGGAACGCGCCGAGAAGGGCGGUUGUGAAAUUGUGUUUUUGUGAAUGUAUGUCCUAGCACAGUGUGUGUGUGAUUGUGAUUGUGUGUGACACCUUGUGUACGGAUGUGGGGAGGACUCUGCGGGUGUCCCGUGAGUCCCUGUGUUAGGACUGUUAUUGUGUGACUGUGUAACGCUGUGUGAGGGUGUGGGUUAGCUGUGACUGUGUGCCCGCGGUGGGUGUGUGAUUGUAACUCUGUGACCAUAUGUUCGUUUGUGUGCAGAUAUAGGGAGCUUUGUACUUAUGUAGUUGUGACUCUGUGUCCUUGUGUGGGAGUAUGGAGGGUGGGUGCUUGUGACUUUGUGUACAGUGGUGGGUGUGUGACUGUGAAGCAUUGGGUGUGCGUGGAGUUGAGACUGUGUUUGUGUGUCUUUGACCAAAUGUCACACAUAGUCAUAUGUGAGAGCAGAAGACAGCUCGGCCCCGUGAUAGUAAAGGGGAUUUUUCUAUGACACUGAGUUUUGAGUUGGAAGCCCCAGUUUCCUCUGAUAGCCCUCCCAUGGCGGGGGAGGGGAACGCAGAGUAAGCUCUGGCCUUGUCAUUUGGGCCCUAGGGGAGGUGUAUUGUCUCCCUUCUCAUUUCUGUCCUCCAAGAGAGGUUCCCCAGAGGAGAGGAAAUAACGGUUGUGAUAUCUAAAAGCCAUGUUUAAGGUGCCUUGAAGUUUUCUCUUUGUUCCUGAAAUGCUUUAUUUUUCCAGGACCUGAUUUUUUUUUUUUUUGAGAUGGAGUCUCGCACUGUCGCCCGGGCUGGUGUGCAGUGGCGCGAUCUCGGCUCACUGCAACCUCCGCCUCCCAGGUUCAAGCGAUUCUCCUUCCUCAGCCUACCGAGUAGCUAGGAUUACAGGUGCCGGCCACCACGCCCGGGUAAUUUUUUUGUUGUUGUAUUUUUAGUAGAGACGGGGCUUCACUAUGUUGGCCUGGCUUGUCUUGAACUCCUAACCUUGUGAACCGUCCACCUCGGCCUCCCAAAGUGCUGGGAUUACAGGCAUGAGCCACUGCGCCCGGCUGAUUUUUUUUUUCUUAGCAAAUGCCUAAAAGGACUUAUCAAGUAACCUGGAAUCUUCUGUUACUCUUUGGAAAAAUCUUCCUAAUUUUGUCUUAUUAAUAUAGCAAAUGGUUCAGUUUAUCAUGUAUGCUUAGUUUGGUUUUACCUAUAUACAUAUGUAGAUAUAUAUGCAUAUACAUAAAUAUACAUACACAUAUUUGUAUAUGCACAUAUUGAAAUGUAUCUCAUGUUUUAAGUGAUAUUUUAACUUCCUACAUAAUUGAAAGCUAUUUGAGAAUAUAUUAAAUUGUAGAUACUGUUAAUUGUUUUGCCACAUAUGUGGCUAACCCAAUAUCCAUUCCCUUCUUUAUUGCUAUAAAAGUCCUGAUCUUGUUUGCUCUGCUUAAAGAAAAACAAACAGAAAACAAACAAAAAACCCAAACUCUACGUGUUCUAGCUUCUCCUGUUGAUGUAAGUUAAAGUUCUUAGAUUGGGCUUCUCAGACAGUUUUUUUUUUUUUGAAAUGGAGUCUUCACUCAGUCACCCAAGUUGGAGUGCAGUAGCGUGAUCUCAGCUCACUGCAACCUUCACCUCCCGGGUUCAAGCGGUUCUCCUGCCUCAGGCUCCUGAGUAGCUGGGAUUACAGGCGACUGCCACCAUGCCCGGCUAAUUUUUGUGUUUUUAGUAGAGAUGAGGUUUCCACCAUGUUGGCCAGGCUGGUCUCGAACUCCUGACCUCAGGUGAUCUGCCUGCCUAGGCCUCCCAAAGUGCUGGGAUUACAGGCAUGAGCUACUGCACCUGGCCACUCAGGCAGUUCUUUAAAGGUAUGGGGAUGGGGUGGGGCAGGCUCAGUGUGCAUACAUUCUUUUUCCCCUUUCUGUCUGGAAUGUGGAUAUUGUGCUACAUGCAGAGCAGCUAUCUCAUAACCAUGCAUUUUUUUUUUUUUUUUUUUGAGACAGAAACUUGCUCUGUUGCCCAGUCUGGAGUGCGGUGGCGCAAUCUCAGCUCACUGCAACCUCUGCCUAUUGAGUUCAAGUGAUGCUCCUGCCUCAGCCUCCUGAGUAGCUGGGACUACAGGCGUGCACCACCAUGCCUGGCUAAUUUUUGUAUUUUUAGAAGAGAUGGGGUUUCACCAUGUUGGCCAGGCUGGUCUCAAACUCCUGACCUCAGGUGAUCCGUCUGCCUCGGCCUCCCAAAGUGCUGGGAUUACAGGUGUGAGCCACCAUGCCCGGCCAUAACCAUGCAUUUAUAAUGGAAGGAAGGAGAUGAGAGUUUACAAUGUCAUAUUAAAUGAAAAUAGAGGAUUUUAAGUUAUAUAUGUUGUGUGAAAGCAAUUUGAUUAGAAGAUAUGUAUAUUCUACCUAUCUAUGCAUGAAAUGUGUAGUUGCACUUUAAUUUUCUUCAUUGUAACUAGACUCAAGCUUGUGAAAGAAGGGACUUGUCUUUUUGUUUAGUUGUUCCAUCUUCACCAUUUACAAUGGCUAGCACAUAGUUGGCUCUCAGUAAAUAUUUGAUUAAUGAAAGAAUAGUAAGUAGUUAAUAAAUGAUAGCAGUGCUACUUAGUUUCUUUUUGGUUGCACAGAGGAAACAUGCCCAGAUUGCCUUAGGUUUCUGUUACUCUCUGAGAUUACUCUGUGUUAACUCUACCUCUGGGGUAGUGAAGAGGUAUGCCAAGGGGUGUUAUAAGCCAACAUUCUUCAGACUGGGUAUAAGUUCUUCAUCAUCCAUAGGACUUUUGAUGUUGGGCGAAAGAUAUUCACUGCUUUGAUUAUUUAUUGUUUUCUUUGAUUAUUUAUUAAGUUUCUGUAAAGCAUAAAAUAUAACCAAUUUUUCUCACAUUUAAACUUGAUUAUUAAUUUUGAUUAAUAUAUAUUUCUUUUUUUUUUUUUUUUUUUUUUGAGACAGAGUCUUGCUCUGUUGCCCAUGCUGGAGUGUAGUGGCACACUCUCGGCUCACUGCAACUUCCACCUCCUGGGUGCAAGCGAGUCUCCUGCCUUAGCCUCCUGAGUAGCUGGGAUUACAGGUGCACACCACCACGCCUGGCUAAUUUUUUGUAUUUUUAGUAGAGACGGAGUUUCACCAUGUUGGCCAGGCUGGUCUCGAACUCCUGACCUCAAGCAAUCCGCCCACCUUGGCCUCCCAAAGGGCUGGGAUUACAGGAAUGAGCCACCGCACCCAGCCAAUUCUUUUUUUUUUUUUUUUUUUUUGAGACGGAGUCUCACUCUGUCGUCCAGGCUGGCGUGCAGUGGCACUGUCUCGGCUCACUGCAACCUCUGUGUCCCAGGUUCAAGCGAUUCUCCUGCCUCAGCCUCCCGAGUAGCUGAGAUUACAGGUGCCCACCACCACUCCCGGCUAAAUUUGUAUUUUUAGUAGAGAUGGGGUUUCGCCAUAUUGGCCAGGCUGGUCUCGAACUCCUGACCUCAAGUGAUCUGCCUGCCUUGGCCUCCCAAAGUGCUGGGAUUACAGGCAUGAGUCACCGCACCUGGCCAGAUUUGGAUUCUUAAAUGCCAAUUGAGUUCUUAACAGGGAAAUACUAGAAGCAUUUCCGUUACAUAAGGAAAGAGACAAGAAUAUAUGUAUCACCAUUACUAUUUAACUUUUUUUUUUUUUCUUGAGAUUGAGUUUUGCUCUUGUUGCCCAGGCUGGAGUGCAAAGAUGCGAUCUCGGCUCACCACAACCUCUGCCUCCCAGGUUCAAGGGAUUCUCCUGCCUCAGCCUCCCGAGUAGCUAGGAUUACAGGCUUGCGCCACCAUGCCUGGCUAAUUUUGUAUGUGUAUCAGAGACAGGGUUUCUCCAUGUUGAUCAGGCUGGUCUCCAACUCCUGACCUCAGGUGGUCCACCUGCCUUGGCCUCCCAAAGUGCUGGGGUUACAGGCUUGAGCCACCGCACCCGGCCCUUAACUUUUUUUUUUUUUUUUAAGAGAUGCUUGGUAGAGUAAUUAAACAAGUAAAAAGAUUCAGAGGCAAAAAAAUUCUGAAAAGAGGAAAUAACAAUGACAUUAAAUGCAUAAUUCCAUAGGAAGUAUGUCUGGAAGAUAAAUGUUUAUGUAUAUAUUUUUAAUCACCCUCUGAACCUGAACUUGAGUUAAUCAGACUCAUUUAUCACUAAUCUUUAAAAGGGCUCUAUUGAUCUGUUUCCAACACCAUACUCUACUUCCAUUCUCCUUCUGCUGUAGACACAUUCAAAAUGAUUAAUUUGUUGGACGCGGUGGCUCACGCCUGUAAUCCUAGCACUUUGGGAGGAUGAGGCAGGCGGAUCACCUGAGUUCAGGAGUUUGAGACCAGCCCAUCCAACAUGGCAAAACCCCCAUCUCUACCAAAAAUACAAAAUUAGCCAGGCGUGGUCGUGCACACCUGUAAUCCCAGCUACUCGGGAGGCUGAGGCAGGAGAACUGCUUGAACCUGGGAGAUGGAGGUUCCCGUGAUCGAGGUCAUGGCAUUGCAAUCCAGCCUGGAUGACUGAGUGAGACUCCAACUCAAAAAAAAAAAAAAAAAAAGAUUAAUUUUAUCUUUAUGCUUGAAAAUGUUCUUACAAAGCAUAUAUUUUACAUACGUGUAUUAAAUAUAUAUAUAUAUAAAUGUCUCCUGUUCUUUUUCAGUAAUCAUAGUGUUUUUACAAUUAUCUGUUACUAUGUAAACAUUUAUUUCAAGGCAUUGGUCACGUUACCUACCUACUCUUCCAGGGAAUGGACAUGCAGAUUGCCUUCAUACCCUCCCACCACAGGAAAUGCUGAAAUUAAUAAUCUCAUACAUAUCCCUUUAUGGGCCAGUUUGAGAAUUUCUUAGGUCACAGAAUUUCUGGGUCAUAGGAUAUGAGUUUACUUGACUAAGUGGUGCCAGAUUCUCUCCGGAUUGGUUGUAGGAGUCCAGACUCCCACCAGUAUGGAAUGAGAGUUUCCAUAUCCCACAUCUGUAUGAACACAGCACUGUGUAGCUGUCUCAUAGUUAUCAGUCUAAAAGGUAUAAAGUAGUAUUUCUUUGUAGUAUUAAUGUGCAUUUCUCAUUGCCAGUGAUUUUGAAUAGCUUUUAUGCUUGUUAGCUUUUUCAGCUUGUUUGUAAAUUGCCUUUUGUACCUUUUGUUAAAAUGUAAUUGGGAUUAGUCUUUUUCUUGUUAAUUUGCAAAUGUUUAUGUUUUCUAGAUAUUAACUCUCUGAUAGUUUUAGACUCUGCUGAUACCCUCUUAUGUAUUAUUAUACUUUUUAUUAAACAGAAAUACUUAUUUUAAUAUUAUUGUUAUGUGUUUGUGUAUAUGUAUGUGGCUUAUGGUAUUAUUAUUUAAGAAACAUUUUUCUGGCUGGGCAUGGUGGCUCACGCCUGUAAUCCCAGCACUUUGGGAGGCCAAGGUGAGCGGAUUGCUUGAGGUCAGGAGUUCGAGACCAGCCCGGCCAACAUGGUGAAACCCCAUCUCUACUAAAAAUACAAAAAUUAAUCGGGCGUGGUGGCGGGUGCCUAUAAUCCCAGCUACUCAGGAGGUUGAGUCAGGAGAAUUUCUUGAACCUAGGAGACGGAGGUUGCAGUGAGCCAAGAUCGUGCCACUGCACUCCAGCCUGGGCAACAAGAGCAAAACUCUGUCUCAAAAAAGAGAGAAAAAAAAAAGAAACAUUUUUCUUCUCUAAGGUCACAAAGAAAUUCUUCUACAUUUUUGUCUCUUGACUUUGUAGUUCUACCUUACACAGUUAGGUCUUUAACCUAUUCCAGAGUAAAAUUUUGUAUUUUCAAAAAAAAAACUAUUCUCCCAUAAUUGUCUCUUUCAGCCCUUCUCUGUGAGAUGGUAUUUUUUCCUGCCUCUGGAUGAAAUGUCUGUCAAGUGUCAUUAUAGUCAUUCUUAAGUAAUAAAAAAUCCAGUAGACAAGAUCAGCCUUAAUUUGCUAAAUGAAAUACCUGGUAUAUUACAAUAAUUAGUACUCUGAACUGUUUAAAAUUAAGACUUCUUCCUACAACUGAAUCUUAGGUAAAGAUGGACACCUGCAUGAGGGAAGGAAUAUGUGAGCAGCUUCCAUUUCCCUUCCAUGGUCUUCUCAGCUUCCUCCAACAGUAGAUUGUUCAGCCUCCCUAAAGCAGGAGAAGAGGAAGGGGAAGAAAGGUGUUUUUCCGGGUUUCUAAGCAAAUACCUUGCUGCAGAUCUUCAACUGCAGGGGAGGGCAUGUUGCCAGAACAUCCUGUUUACAGAGGCCACUUAAAAUCCUUACGUUAACCCUAGGCAUACUGUGGUCAUCCUUUUCUGGUGGGUCACAUUGGCCCUCCAGAAGUUCUCUAGAACAGGAUCCAAGAUCUCCUGAGGUCAGCUCACUCCGUAUGGUCCAUAUCCUGUCACCACGUGGGAAUUAAGUUCCUAUCUCUGUUUCUCCUAAAUGGCAGGAAAAAAGGUAAAGUUCUCCUAAGAACUCUCUUAACACACUCCCCUUUGGAUCUUAGAGGGACUGGGAUGGAUCGGGUCAACUUGCUUGGUUUGAUUAGAGGAGGAAACACCCACCUCCUUUCCUCAGGGUGCUGAGAACACACCCACAGCUCUUCCCAAAAAUAGUCUCACCUCACAAAAAGUCCUCUUCCUCAGCCUCCCCAGCCUCUCACAUGUCCUUGAGGUAUGUUGAACUGUAGCAAAAAUUGUUUAUAGCCAGUUUCUUUUUUUUAAUUUUAAUUUUUUAAAAUAUGGUCAGCUGGGCGCAGUGGCUGCCUGUAACCCCAGCAAUUUGGGAGGGUGAGGCGUGCGAAUCACCUGAGGUCAGGAGUUCGAGACCAGCCUGACCAACAUGGAGAAACCCCAUCUCUACUAAAAAUACAAAAUUAACCAGGCAUGGUGGCACAUGCCUGUAAUCCCAGCUACUCAGGAGGCUGAGGCAGGAGAAUUGCUUGAACCCCGGAGGCAGCGGUUGCAGUGAGCUGAGAUCGUGCCAUUGCACUCCAGCCUGGAUGACAAGUCUCAAAAAAAAAAAAGAAAAGAAAAGAAAAAAAAAGAUAGGGUCUUGCUCUGUACUCCAGGCAACCUUGGCUCACUGCAGCCUCAACCUCCUGGACUCAAGUAGUCCUCCCACCUCAGCCUCCUGAGUAGCUGGGACUACAAGCACAUGUCACCACAUCUGGCUAAUUUUUAUAGUUUUUUCCUAGACGGCACCCGGCCUAGAAAGCAAUUUUAAACAAUGAGAAAUUUCAAGAAGGUGACUGGAUAUAAAAUAUGCCAAAAUAGUACACAUAAUGUAUAUGAUAUACAUAUAUAUAUGAAAACAACAAAUAGAAGAUUCAAUUGAGAAAGUUUUAAAAGACCCCAGCAAUGAUAGACAUAAAAAUAUGUUACUAAGGAAUAAAAUUAGCAAGAAUUGGUAUACCUUAUGAAGAGAACUUGAAUAUGGAGGGACUAAUCAGAAAACAAGUGAAAAAGCAUAGUAUAGGAUGCCUCAAACUCCUAAGGGUUUAAAACUUAAUUUGUAAUAAUUUAAUGUGAUCCCAAUCUGAUAAUUAUUUUAUUAAUAAAUUAAUAAUUGUUUUAUUAAAGACAAGUUAAUUCUGAAGUUCAUGUGGAAAAGUCAAUAUGGCAGAAUAGCCAGGAAAAUUCUGAAAAAGAGUAAUUCAGAACAUUUACUCUACCAUAUGUUUAAACAUAAAAUAAUAGCCUUGGCUGGGUGUGGUGGUUUAUACCUGUAAUCACUAAAAGCACUUCGAGAGGCUGAGGUAGAUGGAUCAUUUGAGCCCAGGAGUUUGAGACCAGCCUGGGCAACAUAAUGAAACACCAUCUCUACAAAAAAUACAGAAAUUAGCUGGGUAUGUUGACACAUGCAUAUAGUCUCAGCCAUCCUCCCAAAUGCUUUGGGAGGCUAAGGCGGGAGGAUGGCUUGAGCCUGGGAGGUCAAGACUGCAGUGAGCUGUGAUUGUACUACUGAAUUUCACCCUGGGUGACAGAGUGAGACCGUCUCAAAAUAAAAUAAAAUAAAAUAAAAUAAAAUAAAAUAAAAUAAAAGUCUUAAAAUAGCAUGGUUCUGACAGAUGAGCAGACGGAUCAGUGGAGUGGAAGAGAAACUCCAGACCCAGUAGGUAGUGCAGUAUUCUUCAUAUGGUAAAGACAGCAUUUCUAAUUAGGGGCACACAUAUGGAUUUAGUACUUCGUUUAUAAUAUACAACUGUAUAUUGUAACCAUUGUAGAGGGGAAGAAAAUAGGUCGUUAACAUUUCAUAUCUAUUAUUCCAAGUGGAUCAGAGAUUCAAAUGUGAAAUAUGAAAUCAUAAAAAUUCUCGAAAUAAUGUGGAAAAAAUGUUAGCCUCAGGACAUGGAAAUCAUUCUAAGUCUAACACAAAUCCUAGAACCCAUAAUUGAAAAUAAUAAUAAAUUUUUUUUUUUUUGAGACAGAGUGUCGCUCUGUUGCCCAGGCUGGAGUGCAGUGGUGCGAUCUCGGCUCACUGCAAGCUCCGCCUCCCGGGUGCACGCCAUUCUCCCACCUCAGCCUCCGGAGUAGCUGGCACUACAGGCGCCCGUCACCACGCCGGCUAAUUUUUUGUAUUUUUAGUAGAGAUGGGGUUUCACCAUGUUAGCCAGGAUGGUCUCGAUCUCCUGACCUCGUGAUCCACCCACCUCGGCCUCCCAAAGUGCUGGGAUUACAGGUGUGAGCCACCACGCCCGGCCUAAAUUAAUUUUUUUACUUGGCAAAAACUAUUAAUGCUAAAAUUCCAAAAGAUAAUUGAUAGCCUGGGAAAACUUACCUGCAACAUAUAUCCCAGAAAAAGUUAAUUUUAAUGAAAUGAAAGUACUGCAUAUCUAAUAAGGAGGAAAAAUAAUCAAAAAGAAAAUAAGCAAGGGAUACAGAGAUGGUUCAUAGAAAAGGAACAAAAAAUCGCCUUUUGGUAUGCAUGUUUUCAUCUGUUUGGACUAUCAUAACAAAAUAUCACAAACUGAGUAGCUUAAAAAACAUAAAUUUAUUUUCUUAUAGUUUUGAAGGCUGGAAGUUCAAGAUAGGGGUGCCAGUACAGUUGAUUUCUGGUGAAGGGCUGUCUUCCUGACUUGUAGAUGGCCACUUGCUUUUUGUGUCUUGACAUGGCUGUUAUUCCGCAUGUGGGAGGAGAGAAAGAAAUCUCUGGUGUCUCUUCCUCUUCUUGUAAGAACACUAUCAGAUUAGGUUCCCACACUUACAACUUUCAUUUAAGCUUAAUAUCUCCUUAAAGGUCCUAUCUCCAAAUCCAGUUCCAUCAGUCAUUAGGGCUUUAACAUGAAAUACGGGUAGACACAUUUCAGGGUACAAUAAUGUGAAAAGAUAAUUAUCCUCGCUGAUAGGAAUAAAAUAUAAAUUAAACCUACAAUUUUUACCUAGUAAAAGUUUAAUGUGAACUAGAUUUUUUCAGAUGUAAGGCCAGGUGUGGUGACUCAUGCCUGUAAUCCCAGCACUUUGGGAGGCCAAGUGGGCAGAUCAUUUGAGGUCAGGAGUUCGAGACCAACCUGGCCAACAUGAUGAACCUCUGUCUAUAGUAAAAAUACAAAAAUUAGCCGGGAGUGGUGGCAUGUACUUGUAGUCUCAGCUACUCAGGAGGCUGAGGCAGGAGAAUCACAUGAACCCAGGAAGAGAGGUUGCAGUGAGCUGAGAUCAUGCCACUGCAUUCCAGCCACCUUUUUUCCCCAAUAGUGAUAUGGUUCAGGUCUGUGUACCCACCCACAUCUCAUGUCAAAUUGUAAUCCCCAGUGUUGGAGGUGGGGCCUGGUGGGAGGUGAUUGGAUCAUGGGGUCAGAUUUCCUCCUUGGUGCUGCUUUCAUGAUACUGAGUGAAUGCUUCCUGUCGAGCCAUGAGCCAAUUAAAUCUCUUUUCUUUAUAAAUUACCCAGUCUCAGGUAUUUAUUUAUAGCAGCGUGAAGAAUGAAGUAAUACAAAUGGCUUUUGAGGUACAUGUGGUUUUUGGUUAUGUGGAUGAAUUGUAUAGUGGUAAAGUUUAAGAUUUUAACUUUCGCGGUGGCUAACGCCUGUAAUCCCAGUACUUUGGGAGGCCGAGGCAGGUGGAUCACGAGAUCAGGAGAUUGAGACCAUCCUGGCUAACAUGGUGAAACCCUGUCUCUACUAAAAAUACAAAAAAUUAGCCAGGCAUGGUGGCGGGCACCUGUAGUCCCAGCUACUUGGGAGGCUGAGGCAGGAGAAUGGUGUGAGGCGGAGGCGGAGCUUGCAGUGAGUCUAGAUAGCACCACUGCACUCCAGGCACUUGUAACAGAGCAAGACUCCGUCUCAAAAAAAAAAAAAAAAAAAAGAUUUUAACUUUUUAAGAAACUGCCAAGUUAGAAAAUUAAAGAAACUAGAAAAGAGCAACUAAAUCCAAAGCAAGCAAAAGAAAAACAAUAAAGAUCACAAUGGAAAUCAAAGAAACAGAAGACAUUAAGACACAUACUAGAAAAUGUCUGAAACCAAAAGGUAGUUAUUUGAAAAGAUAACUUGACAAGCAAACUUGACAAGCAAAAAAGAACACAAAUUACCAAAAUCAGAAAUGAAAGAAGGGAAAUCACUAUCAAAAACCUACAAAAUUUAAACUUUAUGCUAACAAAUUAGGCAAACUAGAUAAAAGGGAAACAUUUCUGGUAAGUCAUAAACUAUGAGAACCAACUGGAAGAAAUUUCAAAACUUGAAUAGACCUAUAACUAAAAAAGGACUUUAUUAAAAUUUUCCAUGAAGAAUAGCCCAUAAAUAGAAAUCUAUGAAAUAUUUAAAGAAAAAAUAAUACCAAUACUUCACAAAUUCUUUCAGGAAACAGACAAGGGAAAGGAAACAAUUCUGAGGUCAUACUAUGAGGCCAGUAUUAAGCCUAUACCAAAGGCAGAUUUUAAAUAUCAAAAGAAAGGCCAGGUACAGUGGCUCAUGCCUGUAAUCCCAGCACGUUGGGAGACCGAGGCGGGUGGAUCACGAUAUCAGAAGUUUGUGACCAGCCUGGCCAACAUGGGAAAACCCUGUCUCUACUAAAAAUACAAAAAUUAGC
This 12250-nucleotide long non-coding RNA is filed under the name Homo sapiens (human). RNAcentral's name for it is "HSALNT0397732". Lineage: Eukaryota; Metazoa; Chordata; Mammalia; Primates; Hominidae. The record is from RNAcentral.